This 452-nucleotide ribosomal RNA is filed under the name uncultured bacterium. RNAcentral describes it as "bacterial SSU rRNA". It matches the Rfam family "Bacterial small subunit ribosomal RNA", at positions 29 to 526 of the family's 1533-position model. The record is from RNAcentral.
AACGAACGCUGGCGGCAGGCUUAACACAUGCAAGUCGAACGGUCUCUUCGGAGACAGUGGCAGACGGGUGAGUAACACGUGGGAACGUACCCUUUGGUUCGGAACAACCCAGGGAAACUUGGGCUAAUACCGGAUAAGCCCUUACGGGGAAAGAUUUAUCGCCGAAGGAUCGGCCCGCGUCUGAUUAGCUAGUUGGUGAGGUAACGGCUCACCAAGGCGACGAUCAGUAGCUGGUCUGAGAGGAUGAUCAGCCUCACUGGGACUGAGACACGGCCCAGACUCCUACGGGAGGCAGCAGUGGGGAAUAUUGGACAAUGGGCGCAAGCCUGAUCCAGCCAUGCCGCGUGGGUGAUGAAGGCCCUAGGGUUGUAAAGCCCUUUCGGCGGGGAAGAUAAUGACGGUACCCGCAGAAGAAGCCCCGGCUAACUUCGUGCCAGCCGCCGCGGUAAAAC